CCCCUAAGGCGAGGCCGAAAGGCGUAGUCGAUGGGAAACAGGUUAAUAUUCCUGUACUUGGUGUUACUGCGAAGGGGGGACGGAGAAGGCUAUGUUGGUCGGGCGACGGUUGUCCCGGUUUAAGCGUGUAGGCUGGUUUUCCAGGCAAAUCCGGAAAAUCAAGGCUGAGGCGUGAUGACGAGGCACUACGGUGCUGAAGCAACAAAUGCCCUGCUUCCAGGAAAAGCCUCUAAGCAUCAGGUAACAUCAAAUCGUACCCCAAACCGACACAGGUGGUCAGGUAGAGAAUACCAAGGCGCUUGAGAGAACUCGGGUGAAGGAACUAGGCAAAAUGGUGCCGUAACUUCGGGAGAAGGCACGCUGAUAUGUAGGUGAAGUCCCUCGCGGAUGGAGCUGAAAUCAGUCGAAGAUACCAGCUGGCUGCAACUGUUUAUUAAAAACACAGCACUGUGCAAACACGAAAGUGGACGUAUACGGUGUGACGCCUGCCCGGUGCCGGAAGGUUAAUUGAUGGGGUCAGCGCAAGCGAAGCUCUUGAUCGAAGCCCCGGUAAACGGCGGCCGUAACUAUAACGGUCCUAAGGUAGCGAAAUUCCUUGUCGGGUAAGUUCCGACCUGCACGAAUGGCGUAAUGAUGGCCAGGCUGUCUCCACCCGAGACUCAGUGAAAUUGAACUCGCUGUGAAGAUGCAGUGUACCCGCGGCAAGACGGAAAGACCCCGUGAACCUUUACUAUAGCUUGACACUGAACAUUGAGCCUUGAUGUGUAGGAUAGGUGGGAGGCUUUGAAGUGUGGACGCCAGUCUGCAUGGAGCCGACCUUGAAAUACCACCCUUUAAUGUUUGAUGUUCUAACGUUGACCCGUAAUCCGGGUUGCGGACAGUGUCUGGUGGGUAGUUUGACUGGGGCGGUCUCCUCCUAAAGAGUAACGGAGGAGCACGAAGGUUGGCUAAUCCUGGUCGGACAUCAGGAGGUUAGUGCAAUGGCAUAAGCCAGCUUGACUGCGAGCGUGACGGCGCGAGCAGGUGCGAAAGCAGGUCAUAGUGAUCCGGUGGUUCUGAAUGGAAGGGCCAUCGCUCAACGGAUAAAAGGUACUCCGGGGAUAACAGGCUGAUACCGCCCAAGAGUUCAUAUCGACGGCGGUGUUUGGCACCUCGAUGUCGGCUCAUCACAUCCUGGGGCUGAAGUAGGUCCCAAGGGUAUGGCUGUUCGCCAUUUAAAGUGGUACGCGAGCUGGGUUUAGAACGUCGUGAGACAGUUCGGUCCCUAUCUGCCGUGGGCGCUGGAGAACUGAGGGGGGCUGCUCCUAGUACGAGAGGACCGGAGUGGACGCAUCACUGGUGUUCGGGUUGUCAUGCCAAUGGCACUGCCCGGUAGCUAAAUGCGGAAGAGAUAAGUGCUGAAAGCAUCUAAGCACGAAACUUGCCCCGAGAUGAGUUCUCCCUGACCCUUUAAGGGUCCUGAAGGAACGUUGAAGACGACGACGUUGAUAGGCCGGGUGUGUAAGCGCAGCGAUGCGUUGAGCUAACCGGUACUAAUGAACCGUGAGGCUUAACCUU
Molecule: ribosomal RNA, 1557 nt
Filed under: Escherichia coli 6-537-08_S1_C1
Lineage: Bacteria; Pseudomonadati; Pseudomonadota; Gammaproteobacteria; Enterobacterales; Enterobacteriaceae
Description: bacterial LSU rRNA
Rfam family: Bacterial large subunit ribosomal RNA
Source: RNAcentral